This 187-nucleotide small RNA is filed under the name Candidatus Crickella equi. RNAcentral's name for it is "6S RNA". It matches the Rfam family "6S / SsrS RNA". Rfam says of the family: E. coli 6S RNA was the first non coding RNA to be sequenced, but its function was unknown until recently. It consists of 184 nucleotides that fold into an extended hairpin structure with a large single-stranded internal bulge. Lineage: Bacteria; Bacillati; Bacillota; Clostridia; Peptostreptococcales; Anaerovoracaceae. The record is from RNAcentral.
GGAUUCCUGGAAUAUGCGUUGAGCUAUCAUAAUUGAACCUACACUUACUUAAAGGGAUUCCGGGUGCCUUUGACUUAUGUAAUGCCUCCAUAGAGUGGACUACAGAAUCACUGGCUAAGGAAGUACCCACCUUAUCUUAUUUCGAUAGGGCGUCAAUUAUAAGGCUUGACGGUAUCCCGGGAGUUUU